GAUGAAAGAACGUAGCGAAAUGCGAUAAGUAAUGUGAAUUGCAGAAUUCAGUGAAUCAUCGAAUCUUUGAACGCACAUUGCGCCCCUCGGUAUUCCGGGGGGCAUGCCUGUUCGAGCGUCAUUACACCACUCAAGCCUCGCUUGGUCUUGGGCGUCCGCGGUCCGCCGCGCGCCCCAAUGUCUCCGGCUGAGCCGUCCGUCUCUAAGCGUUGUGAUAAACUGUUCGCUUGCGAGGCCGGGCUGGCUUGUUUGCCGUUAAACCCCCCAUUUUUACAGGUUGACCUCGGAUCAGGUAGGGAUACCCGCUGAACUUAAGCAUAUCAAUAAGCGGAGGA
This 335-nucleotide unclassified non-coding RNA is filed under the name soil metagenome. RNAcentral's name for it is "partial contains 5.8S ribosomal RNA, internal transcribed spacer 2, and large subunit ribosomal RNA". The stretch from base 6 to 121 matches the Rfam family "5.8S ribosomal RNA", at positions 39 to 154 of the family's 154-position model. The record is from RNAcentral.